RNAcentral lists this ribosomal RNA (2206 nucleotides) under Klebsiella pneumoniae CHS 28. RNAcentral describes it as "bacterial LSU rRNA". It matches the Rfam family "Bacterial large subunit ribosomal RNA", at positions 1 to 2236 of the family's 2925-position model. The record is from RNAcentral. Lineage: Bacteria; Pseudomonadati; Pseudomonadota; Gammaproteobacteria; Enterobacterales; Enterobacteriaceae.
UUAAGCGACUAAGCGUACACGGUGGAUGCCCUGGCAGUCAGAGGCGAUGAAGGACGUGCUAAUCUGCGAAAAGCGUCGGUAAGGUGAUAUGAACCGUUAUAACCGGCGAUGUCCGAAUGGGGAAACCCAGUGCAAUUCGUUGCACUAUCGUUAACUGAAUACAUAGGUUAACGAGGCGAACCGGGGGAACUGAAACAUCUAAGUACCCCGAGGAAAAGAAAUCAACCGAGAUUCCCCCAGUAGCGGCGAGCGAACGGGGAGCAGCCCAGAGUCUGAAUCAGCUUGUGUGUUAGUGGAACGGUCUGGAAAGUCCGACGGUACAGGGUGAUAGUCCCGUACACCAAAAUGCACAGGCUGUGAACUCGAAGAGUAGGGCGGGACACGUGGUAUCCUGUCUGAAUAUGGGGGGACCAUCCUCCAAGGCUAAAUACUCCUGACUGACCGAUAGUGAACCAGUACCGUGAGGGAAAGGCGAAAAGAACCCCGGCGAGGGGAGUGAAAAAGAACCUGAAACCGUGUACGUACAAGCAGUGGGAGCACCUUCGGGUGUGACUGCGUACCUUUUGUAUAAUGGGUCAGCGACUUAUAUUCUGUAGCAAGGUUAACCGUAUAGGGGAGCCGCAGGGAAACCGAGUCUUAACUGGGCGUUAAGUUGCAGGGUAUAGACCCGAAACCCGGUGAUCUAGCCAUGGGCAGGUUGAAGGUUGGGUAACACUAACUGGAGGACCGAACCGACUAAUGUUGAAAAAUUAGCGGAUGACUUGUGGCUGGGGGUGAAAGGCCAAUCAAACCGGGAGAUAGCUGGUUCUCCCCGAAAGCUAUUUAGGUAGCGCCUCGUGAACUCAUCUUCGGGGGUAGAGCACUGUUUCGGCUAGGGGGUCAUCCCGACUUACCAACCCGAUGCAAACUACGAAUACCGAAGAAUGUUAUCACGGGAGACACACGGCGGGUGCUAACGUCCGUCGUGAAGAGGGAAACAACCCAGACCGCCAGCUAAGGUCCCAAAGUCAUGGUUAAGUGGGAAACGAUGUGGGAAGGCACAGACAGCCAGGAUGUUGGCUUAGAAGCAGCCAUCAUUUAAAGAAAGCGUAAUAGCUCACUGGUCGAGUCGGCCUGCGCGGAAGAUGUAACGGGGCUAAACCAUGCACCGAAGCUGCGGCAGCGACACUAUGUGUUGUUGGGUAGGGGAGCGUUCUGUAAGCCUGCGAAGGUGUGCUGUGAGGCAUGCUGGAGGUAUCAGAAGUGCGAAUGCUGACAUAAGUAACGAUAAAGCGGGUGAAAAGCCCGCUCGCCGGAAGACCAAGGGUUCCUGUCCAACGUUAAUCGGGGCAGGGUGAGUCGACCCCUAAGGCGAGGCCGAAAGGCGUAGUCGAUGGGAAACAGGUUAAUAUUCCUGUACUUGGUGUUACUGCGAAGGGGGGACGGAGAAGGCUAUGUUAGCCGGGCGACGGUUGUCCCGGUUUAAGCAUGUAGGCUGAUUGUCCAGGCAAAUCCGGAUAAUCAAGGCUGAGGUGUGAUGACGAGGCACUACGGUGCUGAAGUAACAAAUGCCCUGCUUCCAGGAAAAGCCUCUAAGCAUCAGGUAACAUCAAAUCGUACCCCAAACCGACACAGGUGGUCAGGUAGAGAAUACCAAGGCGCUUGAGAGAACUCGGGUGAAGGAACUAGGCAAAAUGGUGCCGUAACUUCGGGAGAAGGCACGCUGGUGUGUAGGUGAAGUCCCUGCGGAUGGAGCUGAGACCAGUCGAAGAUACCAGCUGGCUGCAACUGUUUAUUAAAAACACAGCACUGUGCAAACACGAAAGUGGACGUAUACGGUGUGACGCCUGCCCGGUGCCGGAAGGUUAAUUGAUGGGGUUAUCCGUAAGGAGAAGCUCUUGAUCGAAGCCCCGGUAAACGGCGGCCGUAACUAUAACGGUCCUAAGGUAGCGAAAUUCCUUGUCGGGUAAGUUCCGACCUGCACGAAUGGCGUAAUGAUGGCCAGGCUGUCUCCACCCGAGACUCAGUGAAAUUGAACUCGCUGUGAAGAUGCAGUGUACCCGCGGCAAGACGGAAAGACCCCGUGAACCUUUACUAUAGCUUGACACUGAACAUUGAGCCUUGAUGUGUAGGAUAGGUGGGAGGCUUUGAAGCGUGGACGCCAGUCUGCGUGGAGCCAACCUUGAAAUACCACCCUUUAAUGUUUGAUGUUCUAACGUUGGCCCCU